UACGUAGGGGGCAAGCGUUGUCCGGAUUUAUUGGGCGUAAAGAGCGUGUAGGCGGCUUUACAGGUCCGUUGUGAAAACUCGAGGCUCAACCUCGAGACGCCGGUGGAAACCGUAAGGCUAGAGUCCGGAAGAGGAGAGUGGAAUUCCUGGUGUAGCGGUGAAAUGCGCAGAUAUCAGGAGGAACACCGGUGGCGAAGGCGGGUCUCUGGGCCAAAACUGACGCUGAGGAGCGAAAGCGUGGGGAGCGAACAGG
RNAcentral lists this ribosomal RNA (253 nucleotides) under uncultured bacterium. RNAcentral's name for it is "partial 16S ribosomal RNA". It matches the Rfam family "Bacterial small subunit ribosomal RNA", at positions 524 to 776 of the family's 1533-position model. The record is from RNAcentral.